RNAcentral lists this ribosomal RNA (143 nucleotides) under Orobanche pycnostachya. RNAcentral's name for it is "5.8S ribosomal RNA". It matches the Rfam family "5.8S ribosomal RNA", at positions 19 to 154 of the family's 154-position model. Rfam says of the family: 5.8S ribosomal RNA (5.8S rRNA) is a component of the large subunit of the eukaryotic ribosome. It is transcribed by RNA polymerase I as part of the 45S precursor that also contains 18S and 28S rRNA. Functionally, it is thought that 5.8S rRNA may be involved in ribosome translocation. Lineage: Eukaryota; Viridiplantae; Streptophyta; Magnoliopsida; Lamiales; Orobanchaceae. The record is from RNAcentral.
UCUCGGCUCUCGUAUCGAUGAAGAACGUAGCGAAAUGCGAUACUUGGUGUGAAUUGCAGAAUCCCGUGAACCAUCGAGUCUUUGAACGCAAGUUGCGCCCGAAGCCUUCAGGCUAAGGGCACGUCUGCCUGGGCGUCACACAU